GUAGCUCCCUGGCAGGGGAGACGCCACGGUCACGAGGGCGGCUUCCCCAGGGCGAGCUGCUCCACCACACUGGGGACCUGCUGACCCCUGCGAUUUCCCCACGUGGGGAGAACUCUACUGCAUCAUUUGCGUUGGUGGGAGGCUGCGUGCGCGCUUCCCCCAC
This is a small nuclear RNA of Dasypus novemcinctus (nine-banded armadillo), 163 nucleotides long. Its record names the gene U1. It matches the Rfam family "U1 spliceosomal RNA". From Rfam's summary of the family: U1 is a small nuclear RNA (snRNA) component of the spliceosome (involved in pre-mRNA splicing). Its 5' end forms complementary base pairs with the 5' splice junction, thus defining the 5' donor site of an intron. There are significant differences in sequence and secondary structure between metazoan and yeast U1 snRNAs, the latter being much longer (568 nucleotides as compared to 164 nucleotides in human). Lineage: Eukaryota; Metazoa; Chordata; Mammalia; Cingulata; Dasypodidae. The record is from Ensembl.